Long non-coding RNA from Hordeum vulgare subsp. vulgare (domesticated barley), 561 nucleotides. RefSeq lists it as uncharacterized. The transcript has 2 exons. The record is from RefSeq and is a predicted model, not a curated record. Lineage: Eukaryota; Viridiplantae; Streptophyta; Magnoliopsida; Poales; Poaceae.
UUCACGCAUCAUUGCCAAGAAUUUUUUUCCUAUAUAUAUUAACCAUUCAUGAAGCAAACAUUUCAUGUCAUACACUCCUCAACCCUACUUACAACAGCAUCGUCCAGUAAUAACCUCUGGUCCUCGAUGAUGACGACCAAGUGCUUGAGGAACAAUGUGCAAGGACUUGUGCUACUUUCUUUUCUUCUUGUGGUGUGUUUGACUUCUCCUGGAUGCACAUAUGGUGAAACAAUAAAGCCGAGCAACAUGAUGACCAAAGUAAGCCAUGUAACCAGGCCCCCUUGUUAUAAAGACAACCAAGGCCUUGGACAAUUCUGUUGUAAAAUAGAUAAGUUGUGCUGGACAAAUCUUAGUGAAUGCUUCAUCAACUGUCCCUGCAAGAUUAACUGCAAACGAGCAGCCACAACAACACAGUAGUUUUGUUAUCUCUCCUUUUUUGGAUGGAUAAGUCUCAACCUCAUGGUUCUCAAAAUAAUGAUGGAUGAUAUCAUAAAUUUGCUAUGAUUUUGAAAUCAAGUGUGUUAUUUUAAUGUUAAGAAAACUUAUCAGUUCUCUGCGUAA